Molecule: ribosomal RNA, 1646 nt
Filed under: Escherichia coli
Lineage: Bacteria; Pseudomonadati; Pseudomonadota; Gammaproteobacteria; Enterobacterales; Enterobacteriaceae
Description: partial 23S ribosomal RNA
Rfam family: Bacterial large subunit ribosomal RNA
Source: RNAcentral
CGAAUGCUGACAUAAGUAACGAUAAAGCGGGUGAAAAGCCCGCUCGCCGGAAGACCAAGGGUUCCUGUCCAACGUUAAUCGGGGCAGGGUGAGUCGACCCCUAAGGCGAGGCCGAAAGGCGUAGUCGAUGGGAAACAGGUUAAUAUUCCUGUACUUGGUGUUACUGCGAAGGGGGGACGGAGAAGGCUAUGUUGGCCGGGCGACGGUUGUCCCGGUUUAAGCGUGUAGGCUGGUUUUCCAGGCAAAUCCGGAAAAUCAAGGCUGAGGCGUGAUGACGAGGCACUACGGUGCUGAAGCAACAAAUGCCCUGCUUCCAGGAAAAGCCUCUAAGCAUCAGGUAACAUCAAAUCGUACCCCAAACCGACACAGGUGGUCAGGUAGAGAAUACCAAGGCGCUUGAGAGAACUCGGGUGAAGGAACUAGGCAAAAUGGUGCCGUAACUUCGGGAGAAGGCACGCUGAUAUGUAGGUGAAGUCCCUUGCGGAUGGAGCUGAAAUCAGUCGAAGAUACCAGCUGGCUGCAACUGUUUAUUAAAAACACAGCACUGUGCAAACACGAAAGUGGACGUAUACGGUGUGACGCCUGCCCGGUGCCGGAAGGUUAAUUGAUGGGGUUAGCGGUAACGCGAAGCUCUUGAUCGAAGCCCCGGUAAACGGCGGCCGUAACUAUAACGGUCCUAAGGUAGCGAAAUUCCUUGUCGGGUAAGUUCCGACCUGCACGAAUGGCGUAAUGAUGGCCAGGCUGUCUCCACCCGAGACUCAGUGAAAUUGAACUCGCUGUGAAGAUGCAGUGUACCCGCGGCAAGACGGAAAGACCCCGUGAACCUUUACUAUAGCUUGACACUGAACAUUGAGCCUUGAUGUGUAGGAUAGGUGGGAGGCUUUGAAGUGUGGACGCCAGUCUGCAUGGAGCCGACCUUGAAAUACCACCCUUUAAUGUUUGAUGUUCUAACGUUGACCCGUAAUCCGGGUUGCGGACAGUGUCUGGUGGGUAGUUUGACUGGGGCGGUCUCCUCCUAAAGAGUAACGGAGGAGCACGAAGGUUGGCUAAUCCUGGUCGGACAUCAGGAGGUUAGUGCAAUGGCAUAAGCCAGCUUGACUGCGAGCGUGACGGCGCGAGCAGGUGCGAAAGCAGGUCAUAGUGAUCCGGUGGUUCUGAAUGGAAGGGCCAUCGCUCAACGGAUAAAAGGUACUCCGGGGAUAACAGGCUGAUACCGCCCAAGAGUUCAUAUCGACGGCGGUGUUUGGCACCUCGAUGUCGGCUCAUCACAUCCUGGGGCUGAAGUAGGUCCCAAGGGUAUGGCUGUUCGCCAUUUAAAGUGGUACGCGAGCUGGGUUUAGAACGUCGUGAGACAGUUCGGUCCCUAUCUGCCGUGGGCGCUGGAGAACUGAGGGGGGCUGCUCCUAGUACGAGAGGACCGGAGUGGACGCAUCACUGGUGUUCGGGUUGUCAUGCCAAUGGCACUGCCCGGUAGCUAAAUGCGGAAGAGAUAAGUGCUGAAAGCAUCUAAGCACGAAACUUGCCCCGAGAUGAGUUCUCCCUGACUCCUUGAGAGUCCUGAAGGAACGUUGAAGACGACGACGUUGAUAGGCCGGGUGUGUAAGCGCAGCGAUGCGUUGAGCUAACCGGUACUAAUGAACCGUGAG